AAAAAAAAAAAAGACAAAAGAAUAGGAAAUUUAAAAAAAAUUACUUAAUCUACUGAAUUCAAUUAAAACAUACCCAAACAGGGAUCCCAACCUCAGGCUCCAGGUCAUUCUGUCCAAAGCUAUAAACUGGGUCUGUUUAUCAUUACUAAUUAACUAUGGUGGUAAUUUGCAGUAGUGUCUUGUUUUUCACUGGUAAAAGUGAUUCAAUUUCAUUUUACACAACUCAGAAGAUAGGGAAAAAAACACUUCUAAUUUCAUGGUUCACCCUCAAACAUCACCACUUUUAUCAUUUUGGGGACUAACUCUUAGCAUGCAGUCUGCCAUUAAAUUAAAGAAGGUAAAUGAAGAUUUCUUGUCCAUGCUUUUGUUUUAAAGCUUCAUAAUUCCUACUGCAGACCUGAAGCUUUACCACAAGAGGGCACCAAUGCACAGCAUGGUUCUACUACUGGCUAGCAAACACAGUGCUGUUGGAGACUUAUUACCCUUAGUAAUCUGACCCAUUUUUAGGAACACUUUAGACUUUAAUACUUUACUAAACAUAAACUAGAAACAGCUUUACUCCAGCCUCCUUCAAAGGUUGAUAUAUUUAAAUAUUUUAGAGCAAUCGCUGAGUCUACGCUUGCAACACUAAAUACACUCAGAGAGGUGCAAGAAUUUUGACCUCCCACAGAGAAGCAUGAUUAGUCCCACUGAGACUAGCAAAGAAUGGUUUGGUCAAAUCUUUCUCAUUAGCAUUCCUCUCAUUAGGAUUUCAGCAAAACUUCUUCCUUUCCUGUGAGUCUGAAUGGUGCAAAAUCCCUGAAUUUAGAUUUUCCACAUCUUAAACCAGCUCACUAUUCCUUUCUUACCUGUAUGGCUCAGACCUUUGAACCAGUCUCUGCUCCAUGUGAAAAAUACUGCCAGAUGCUCAAGCCCACCUCAUUUUCACAACUAGUCAGUAACCUACACCUUGGUGGGUCAGUCACAUCUCUCCCUGCAUUGUUUGCUUUCCAAAAGUUAAUUUUAUUUGUUCCCAACUUUGUUUAUGCAAUUUGUAGUUAGUAAUUACAUAAUUCAAUUAAAAAUUUAAAAAUCAAAAAUCAGUAUGAAAAACAAUUUUGAGGGUGAAUAAAGCUGUAACCUUUAUGAAAAUAAGUUUAGUGUUUGGGAAAGGUCUAAUAAAGACUUUUUUAAAUGCUGUGGAAUUAGGGGUAGGCAAAACACUGUGAAAAUUUGAAUGGAGGAGAGGGGAGCACCAAAAUAUAGAAGGCUUUUGUUCCUAUUUUGCUUCAUAAAUGUUUUGAGUCCUCACUCCACUGAAACUGAAAUUGAUAAUGACUCUUGCUGUGUUAAUAGAUGUCUUACAAGCAGUCCCAUCAGCAGGCCCACAUUCCACGUUUUUAGCUUGACACCAAAGGAACAAUGGGUAAAUGUUUUGCUGUAUCUGUUUUAAAUUUAAAAUAAAAUUUUGAUGAUAUAUAUUAUCAUUUCAUGAAUGCCUGUUCUAGAAAGCUGACUUUUCCAUUUAACUCACUACAGAUUCUGUCUGGGUAGGGAAGCAAGGCUUCUAAGGCAUAGCUUCGGAAUUGGC
This 1570-nucleotide long non-coding RNA is filed under the name Marmota monax (woodchuck). Lineage: Eukaryota; Metazoa; Chordata; Mammalia; Rodentia; Sciuridae. The record is from RNAcentral.